CCCAGUUUAUUUUGAUUUAUUUAUUUAUUUUUUCCUUACAGGCAACUGAACAGAGUGUAGGAGCAAGAGUGGAAAAUAUCACUAGGAUUGGACCUGUAACCUCCAUUGCUGCUGUCCCAUUCCACACAGUGCUCCUAGUUGCCUGCCGCUCAC
Long non-coding RNA from Cygnus olor (mute swan), 153 nucleotides. RefSeq lists it as uncharacterized. The record is from RefSeq and is a predicted model, not a curated record. Lineage: Eukaryota; Metazoa; Chordata; Aves; Anseriformes; Anatidae. The transcript has 3 exons.